UGCGUUUAUAAAGAUCACAGUCCAUCAUAGAGAUAUGUUCUAAUCUUCCUCUGCUUCAAUUAACUCCCAAUGCAUAUAUAUCUAUAUAUGUGUGUGUAUAUUUUAUAUAUGAACAUUUUGAUUGAGAAAGACACACGGCAAUAUUGAAGACUCAAGUUUCGGAUGCAUUGACUUCUUCUCAAUUCACUGAUUUUUGCUGGCAUUCAAUAGGAUUCAUUGUGCAAUGUGAUACUCUACUUGUGGUGUUGGUCAUUGUAGGGCUCGUCAAUCAAGUGAAAGCCAAAUGACCAUAUUUUUCAAUGGAAGGGUUUGUGUCUGUGAUGUGACUGAACUUCAGGCCAGAACCAUCAUAUGGCUUGCAAGAAAAGAAAUGGACCAGAAGAAAUCCAAGACAGCAGGUUUGGACACCACAAAUAUUCCAUCUCCUCAAUCUCAAAUUUACAGCCCUCCUGGACUUUCCAUGAAGAAAUCUCUCCAGAGGUUCCUCCAAAGGCGAAAAGAUCGGAUUCAAGGAAGGUCGUCGCCGUACAAUAACUUGUCUGAAAUCGAAUCCUCAAGUGAAAAACACAGAACUGCUUGAUUUUAAAAUAGAUAGAAGAGUAAUGUACUUAUUGUUAUUAGUAGUUCAUGAGUUCUUUUCCUUGAAAUGAAAUAGUAGUACAUUAUUAGUGUUACUUUGAAGAAAAUCAUCCUUGUGAUGAUUCCAUAAAUUCAAUUUCUUACUUUUUCAAUCGCAGGUGACGUGGCCUUAUGUAAAUAAGUCAUCCCACCGAUAAAAAGCGCAGAAAAUGAAUAAAUGUUUGGUUCGGUUUUUUU
This is an RNA transcript of Cornus florida, 816 nucleotides long. It is a transcript of the gene named protein TIFY 5A-like, with no coding region annotated. The record is from RefSeq and is a predicted model, not a curated record. Lineage: Eukaryota; Viridiplantae; Streptophyta; Magnoliopsida; Cornales; Cornaceae. The transcript is spliced from 3 exons.